This 1439-nucleotide ribosomal RNA is filed under the name uncultured bacterium. RNAcentral's name for it is "partial 16S ribosomal RNA". It matches the Rfam family "Bacterial small subunit ribosomal RNA". The record is from RNAcentral.
AUUGAACGCUGGCGGCAGGCCUAACACAUGCAAGUCGAGCGCGAACGUUUCUUCGGAAACAAGUAGAGCGGCGGACGGGUGAGUAACGCGUGGGAAUCUACCCAGUAGCGGGGGAUAACAUGGAGAAAUUCAUGCUAAUACCGCAUACGCCCUACGGGGGAAAGGAGGGGAUCUUCGGACCUUUCACUAUUGGAGGAGCCCGCGUGAGAUUAGAUAGUUGGUGGGGUAAUGGCCUACCAAGUCGACGAUCUCUAGCUGGUCUGAGAGGAUGAUCAGCCACACUGGAACUGAGACACGGUCCAGACUCCUACGGGAGGCAGCAGUGGGGAAUAUUGCACAAUGGGCGAAAGCCUGAUGCAGCCAUGCCGCGUGUGUGAAGAAGGCCCUAGGGUUGUAAAGCACUUUCAAUUGGGAGGAAAGGUUGUAAGUUAAUACCUUGCAACUGUGACGUUACCUUUAGAAGAAGCACCGGCAAACUCCGUGCCAGCAGCCGCGGUAAUACGGAGGGUGCGAGCGUUAAUCGGAAUUACUGGGCGUAAAGCGCGCGUAGGCGGAUAAUUAAGUCAGCUGUGAAAGCCCCGGGCUCAACCUGGGAACUGCAGUUGAUACUGGUUAUCUAGAGUACAGUAGAGGGUGGUGGAAUUUCCUGUGUAGCGGUGAAAUGCGUAGAUAUGGGAAGGAACAUCAGUGGCGAAGGCGGCCACCUGGACUGAUACUGACGCUGAGGUGCGAAAGCGUGGGUAGCGAACAGGACUAGAUACCCUGGUAGUCCACGCCGUAAACGAUGAUCACUAAAUGUUCGGCCUUCGGGCUGAGUGUUCAAGCGAAAGCGAUAAGUGAUCCACCUGGGGAGUACGUUCGCAAGAAUGAAACUCAAAGGAAUUGACGGGGGCCCGCACAAGCGGUGGAGCAUGUGGUUUAAUUGAUGAUACGCGAGGAACCUUACCUGGGCUACAAUGCCUCUGCCAGUCCCCGAAAGGGGAUGUUCCUUCGGGACAGAGUGCAAGGUGCUGCAUGGUUGUCGUCAGCUCGUGCCGUGAGGUGUUGGGUUAAGUCCCGCAACGAGCGCAACCCCUAUCGUUAGUUGCCAUCAGGUUAAGCUGGGGACUCUAACGAGACUGCCUCCGCAAGGAGUGAGGAAGGCGGGGAUGACGUCAAAUCAUCAUGGCCCUUACGCCCAGGGCGACACACGUGCUACAAUGGACGGUACAGCGGGUAGCGACUUUGCGAAAAGAAGCCAAUCCCUAAAAGCCGUUCUCAGUUCGGAUCGGAGUCUGCAACUCGACUCCGUGAAGUCGGAAUCGCUAGUAAUCGCAGAUCAGCCAUGCUGCGGUGAAUACGUUCCCGGGCCUUGUACACACCGCCCGUCAAGCCAUGGAAGCUGGGGGCACCUGAAGUCGGCCUAUAAGCCGCCUAGGGUGAAACUAGUAACUGGGGCU